This 117-nucleotide ribosomal RNA is filed under the name Staphylococcus aureus. RNAcentral describes it as "partial 23S ribosomal RNA". It matches the Rfam family "Bacterial large subunit ribosomal RNA", at positions 2810 to 2925 of the family's 2925-position model. The record is from RNAcentral. Lineage: Bacteria; Bacillati; Bacillota; Bacilli; Caryophanales; Staphylococcaceae.
AUUUCCCAACUUCGGUUAUAAGAUCCCUCAAAGAUGAUGAGGUUAAUAGGUUCGAGGUGGAAGCAUGGUGACAUGUGGAGCUGACGAAUACUAAUCGAUCGAAGACUUAAUCAAAUU